GGACUACCAGGGUAUCUAAUCCUGUUUGAUCCCCACGCUUUCGUGCCUCAGCGUCAAUCAUCGCUUAGUUAGCUGCCUUCGCAAUCGGUGUUCUAUAUCAUAUCUAUGCAUUUCACCGCUACAUGAUAUAUUCCGCCAACCUCAACGAUAUUCAAGAUAAAUAGUAUCAAUGGCAGUUUCUGAGUUGAGCCCAGAGAUUUCACCACUGACUUAAAUACCCGCCUACACACCCUUUAAACCCAGUGAAUCCGGAUAACGCUUGCACCCUCCGUAUUACCGCGGCUGCUGGCAC
RNAcentral lists this ribosomal RNA (292 nucleotides) under uncultured Bacteroidota bacterium. RNAcentral's name for it is "uncultured Bacteroidetes bacterium partial 16S ribosomal RNA". The record is from RNAcentral. Lineage: Bacteria; Pseudomonadati; Bacteroidota.